CUGGCUCAGAACGAACGCUGGCGGCAGGCCUAACACAUGCAAGUCGAGCGAGGA
RNAcentral lists this ribosomal RNA (54 nucleotides) under Paracoccus sp. J56. Its description in RNAcentral is "16S rRNA. Bacterial SSU". Lineage: Bacteria; Pseudomonadati; Pseudomonadota; Alphaproteobacteria; Rhodobacterales; Paracoccaceae. The record is from RNAcentral.